GUGGUGGCUCAGUGGUAGAGUGCUCACCUACCACACGCGAGGCCCUGGGUUCAAUCCUCAGCAACACA
This 68-nucleotide transfer RNA is filed under the name Marmota monax (woodchuck). Its description in RNAcentral is "tRNA.Gly". The record is from RNAcentral. Lineage: Eukaryota; Metazoa; Chordata; Mammalia; Rodentia; Sciuridae.